ACGCUGGCGGCGUGCCUAAUACAUGCAAGUAGAACGCUGAAGAGAGGAGCUUGCUCUUCUUGGAUGAGUUGCGAACGGGUGAGUAACGCGUAGGUAACCUGCCUUGUAGCGGGGGAUAACUAUUGGAAACGAUAGCUAAUACCGCAUAACAAUGGGUGACACAUGUCAUUUAUUUGAAAGGGGCAAUUGCUCCACUACAAGAUGGACCUGCGUUGUAUUAGCUAGUAGGUGAGGUAACGGCUCACCUAGGCGACGAUACAUAGCCGACCUGAGAGGGUGAUCGGCCACACUGGGACUGAGACACGGCCCAGACUCCUACGGGAGGCAGCAGUAGGGAAUCUUCGGCAAUGGGGGCAACCCUGACCGAGCAACGCCGCGUGAGUGAAGAAGGUUUUCGGAUCGUAAAGCUCUGUUGUAAGUCAAGAACGAGUGUGAGAGUGGAAAGUUCACACUGUGACGGUAGCUUACCAGAAAGGGACGGCUAACUUCGUGCCAGCAGCCGCGGUAAUACGUAGGUCCCGAGCGUUGUCCGGAUUUAUUGGGCGUAAAGCGAGCGCAGGCGGUUUGAUAAGUCUGAAGUUAAAGGCUGUGGCUCAACCAUAGUUCGCUUUGGAAACUGUCAAACUUGAGUGCAGAAGGGGAGAGUGGAAUUCCAUGUGUAGCGGUGAAAUGCGUAGAUAUAUGGAGGAACACCGGUGGCGAAAGCGGCUCUCUGGUCUGUAACUGACGCUGAGGCUCGAAAGCGUGGGGAGCGAACAGGAUUAGAUACCCUGGUAGUCCACGCCGUAAACGAUGAGUGCUAGGUGUUGGAUCCUUUCCGGGAUUCAGUGCCGCAGCUAACGCAUUAAGCACUCCGCCUGGGGAGUACGACCGCAAGGUUGAAACUCAAAGGAAUUGACGGGGGCCCGCAC
Molecule: ribosomal RNA, 911 nt
Filed under: uncultured bacterium
Lineage: Bacteria
Description: bacterial SSU rRNA
Rfam family: Bacterial small subunit ribosomal RNA
Source: RNAcentral